RNAcentral lists this ribosomal RNA (253 nucleotides) under uncultured bacterium. RNAcentral's name for it is "partial 16S ribosomal RNA". It matches the Rfam family "Bacterial small subunit ribosomal RNA", at positions 524 to 776 of the family's 1533-position model. The record is from RNAcentral.
UACGUAGGGGGCAAGCGUUGUCCGGAUUUAUUGGGCGUAAAGAGCGUGUAGGCGGCCAGGUAGGUCUGCUGUGAAAACUCGAGGCUUAACCUCGAGCUGUCGGCGGAAACCAUCUGGCUCGAGUACGAGAGAGGUGAGUGGAAUUCCCAGUGUAGAGGUGAAAUUCGUAGAUAUUGGGAAGAACACCGGUGGCGAAGGCGGCUCACUGGCUCGUAACUGACGCUCAUGCACGACAGCGUGGGGAUCAAACAGG